UACGUAGGGGGCAAGCGUUGUUCGGAAUUACUGGGCGUAAAGGGCGCGUAGGCGGUACGACAAGUCUGGAGUGAAAGCCCGGGGCUCAACCCCGGAAUGUCUUUGGAAACUGUCGAACUUGAGUGCGGAAGAGGCAUCUGGAAUUCCCAGUGUAGCGGUGAAAUGCGUAGAUAUUGGGAGGAACACCAGUGGCGAAGGCGGCUCACUGGACCGGUACUGACGCUGAGGCGCGAAAGCGUGGGGAGCAAACGGG
This 253-nucleotide ribosomal RNA is filed under the name uncultured bacterium. RNAcentral describes it as "partial 16S ribosomal RNA". It matches the Rfam family "Bacterial small subunit ribosomal RNA", at positions 524 to 776 of the family's 1533-position model. The record is from RNAcentral.